RNAcentral lists this transfer RNA (75 nucleotides) under Candidatus Legionella polyplacis. RNAcentral describes it as "Legionella endosymbiont of Polyplax serrata tRNA-His". It matches the Rfam family "tRNA". Rfam says of the family: Transfer RNA (tRNA) molecules are approximately 80 nucleotides in length. The record is from RNAcentral. Lineage: Bacteria; Pseudomonadati; Pseudomonadota; Gammaproteobacteria; Legionellales; Legionellaceae.
GUGAAUGUAGCUCAAUUGGUAGAGCAUCGGGUUGUGGUCCCGGUUGUUGUGGGUUCGAUCCCCAUCAUUCACCCA